Molecule: long non-coding RNA, 254 nt
Filed under: Lathyrus oleraceus (garden pea)
Lineage: Eukaryota; Viridiplantae; Streptophyta; Magnoliopsida; Fabales; Fabaceae
Description: Pisum sativum (pea) long non-coding RNA (PSAT_LNC035785)
Source: RNAcentral
GUUUGGGUAACAAAGAAUGGUUGUAUCUCAAGGUAAUUGAAACGAAAGCUGCCUAAACAAAUGAGAGUGAUCACUUUCCAAAUACUCAAGCAUUCACAACUUCAUUCACCUUUUUCUCUUUGCUCGAUUGUUAGACCAUCGCACACAACUUAUUAUCACAAUUUAUUUUCUAUUUUUUGUUCUUUUUCAAGGCUUUUUAUUUUUCACUUUUCUCUUUCUUUUUCCAAAUUUUUAUUUUUCUUUCUCAACCUCUG